GCUAAGUGGGAAAGCAGGUGGGACGACCAUAACAACCAGGAGGUUGGCUUAGAAGCAGCCACCCUUUAAAGAAAGCGUAAUAGCUCACUAGUCGAGUCGGCCUGCGCGGAAGAUGUAACGGGGCUAAGCAAUAUACCGAAGCUGCGGAUGUGUGUAUUUAUACACACAUGGUAGGGGAGCGUUGUGUAAGUGGCUGAAGGCAAGCUGUGAGGCUUGCUGGACAUAUCACAAGUGCGAAUGCUGACAUGAGUAACGAUAAUGGGGGUGAAAAACCCCCACGCCGGAAGACCAAGGUUUCCUGUCCCAUGCUAAUCAGGGCAGGGUAAGUCGGCCCCUAAGGCGAGGCAGAGAUGCGUAGUCGAUGGGAAACGGAUUAAUAUUUCCGUACUUGGUAUAUCAGUGAAGGGGGGACGGAGAAGGCUAGGCAAGCACAGUGUUGGUUAUCUGUGUGAAAGUGCGUAGGGCGACAAUUUAGGUAAAUCCGGAUUGUCAUUCACCUGAGACACGAGACGAGACUCCACGGAGUUGAAGUUGUUGAUGCCAUGCUUCCAGGAAAAGCCUCUAAACUUAUGAUAUAUCGAACCGUACCCCAAACCGACACAGGUGGUCAGGUAGAGAAUACUAAGGCGCUUGAGAGAACCUGGGUGAAGGAACUCGGCAAAAUCGUACCGUAACUUCGGGAGAAGGUACGCUGCUGUUUGUGAUGGGACUUGCUCCCUAAGCGAAUGGCAGCCGCAGUGAAAUGGUGGCUGGAACUGUUUAUUAAAAACACAGCACUGUGCUAAAUCGAAAGAUGACGUAUACGGUGUGACGCCUGCCCGGUGCCGGAAGGUUAAUUGAUGGGGUUAGACUUAGGUCGAAGCUCUUGAUCGAAGCCCCGGUAAACGGCGGCCGUAACAAUAACGGU
RNAcentral lists this ribosomal RNA (907 nucleotides) under Skeletonema marinoi. Its description in RNAcentral is "partial Bacterial large subunit ribosomal RNA". It matches the Rfam family "Bacterial large subunit ribosomal RNA", at positions 1058 to 1949 of the family's 2925-position model. The record is from RNAcentral. Lineage: Eukaryota; Bacillariophyta; Thalassiosirophyceae; Thalassiosirales; Thalassiosiraceae.